CAGUCGCCACGGGAAUACGUAGGGUGCGAGCGUUAAUCGGAAUUACUGGGCGUAAAGCGUGCGCAGGCGGUUGUGUAAGACCGGUGUGAAAUCCCCGGGCUUAACCUGGGAACUGCGCUUGUGACUGCACAGCUAGAGUAUGGCAGAGGGGGGUGGAAUUCCACGUGCAGCAGUGAAAUGCGUAGAGAUGUGGAGGAACACCGAUGGCGAAGGCAGCCCCCUGGGCCAAUACUGACGCUCAUGCACGAAAGCGUGGGGAGCAAACAGGAUUAGAUACCCCUGUAGUCCCUGUCUCUUAUAC
This 301-nucleotide ribosomal RNA is filed under the name uncultured bacterium. RNAcentral describes it as "partial 16S ribosomal RNA". It matches the Rfam family "Bacterial small subunit ribosomal RNA", at positions 509 to 807 of the family's 1533-position model. The record is from RNAcentral.